CCAAGGAGUCUAACAUGUGUGCGAGUCGUAGGGAAGUUCUCAGACUAAACCCGAAGGCGUAAUGAAAGUGAAGGUCGGCAAAUCGUCGACCAAGGCGGGAUCCGUUCGGGCUUACGGUUCGGCCGAGCUCGGCGGCGCACCGCCGGCCCGUCUCGACCACUGAGUUGGUGAGGUGGAGCAAGAGCACACACGUUGGGACCCGAAAGAUGGUGAACUAUGCCUGGGCAGGACGAAGCCAGAGUAAUGUCUGGUGGAGGUCCGCAGCGAUUCUGACGUGCAAAUCGAUCGUCGGACCUGGGUAUAGUGGCGAAAGACUAAUCGAACCAUCUA
This 330-nucleotide ribosomal RNA is filed under the name Lithobius pilicornis. RNAcentral describes it as "partial large subunit ribosomal RNA". It matches the Rfam family "Eukaryotic large subunit ribosomal RNA", at positions 666 to 946 of the family's 3401-position model. The record is from RNAcentral. Lineage: Eukaryota; Metazoa; Arthropoda; Chilopoda; Lithobiomorpha; Lithobiidae.